GCUUGUCUCAAAGAUUAAGCCAUGCAUGUCUAAGUAUAAACAAAUCUAUACUGUGAAACUGCGAAUGGCUCAUUAUAUCAGUUAUAAUAUACUAGAUAGUUUCUCUACUUGGAUAACCGUAGUAAUUCUAGAGCUAAUACAUGACCAGAGGCGCGCCCGCGCCGCAUUUAUUAGAUACAACCAGCCCUCCGGGCCUUGGCGAGUCAUAAUAACUGAGCUGACCGUAUUCGUACGGCGUUUCUUAUUAAUUUCUGCCCUAUCAGCUUUCGAUGGUAGGGUAUUGGCCUACCAUGGCGUUAACGGGUAACGGAGAAUUAGGGUUCGAUUCCGGAGAGGGAGCCUGAGAGAUGGCUACCACAUCCAAGGAAGGCAGCAGG
This 377-nucleotide ribosomal RNA is filed under the name uncultured fungus. RNAcentral describes it as "partial small subunit ribosomal RNA". It matches the Rfam family "Eukaryotic small subunit ribosomal RNA", at positions 30 to 432 of the family's 1831-position model. Lineage: Eukaryota; Fungi. The record is from RNAcentral.